UCGGCACAGACAGUGGGCAGUGCGGCAGUAGGCAUGCUGGUCACCAGUGCUCAGCCCUGCAAGAAAUAACCAUGGCAACGUGUCGUGGGUCGGGUUCCCACAGAAACAUUAGCUGCAGCAGAUGAUCCGUUGAUUGGAGUCCCUGCAUCGUAGAGGCGCCUGCUGCUGCCCCCUUGCCCUGUGCUGUACUAAAGCACAGUCAUGUUGUUGG
Long non-coding RNA from Leucoraja erinaceus (little skate), 211 nucleotides. RefSeq lists it as uncharacterized. NCBI's taxonomy places the organism in Eukaryota, Metazoa, Chordata, Chondrichthyes, Rajiformes, Rajidae. The transcript is spliced from 3 exons. The record is from RefSeq and is a predicted model, not a curated record.